RNAcentral lists this long non-coding RNA (5988 nucleotides) under Heterocephalus glaber (naked mole-rat). RNAcentral's name for it is "lncRNA (ENSHGLG00000044405.1)". Lineage: Eukaryota; Metazoa; Chordata; Mammalia; Rodentia; Bathyergidae. The record is from RNAcentral.
UGGCAAUUGAAAGGAUAGAGACUGAAGAGAUAGGAAGACUUUUCCCUACGCAUUUUAUUAUACUUUUUAAAAAAAUUCAGAAUGGGUUUUGCUUUACUGCCCAGGCUGACCCAGAAUUCCUGGGCUGGAGUGAUCUUCCUGCCUUGGCCUCUAGAGUAGCUGGGACUGCCGAUGGGAUUCCACAGUGCCACACUGUCAGGCUUUCUGAUGUUUGAAUCACAUUAGUGUAGGCUUCUCUCACUGUUGAACCUUUUUUUGUUUUUUUCUGAACUUUUUACUAACCGAAUUACUAAUUCCAAAUUCUCAGGAACAAACAGAUUUGCUUAAAAAUUAACAUCCCUCCCUAUCAGAAUAUUUUGUACCUAGUACUCAAACAAACAAGGCUUUAUAACACGAAACAGAUGUUACUAAGACCGAAAGUCUCCCCUUGCCGGGGAGUGUGUGGCUCUGUACAAUCCUGACCUCCUGCCAGGCCCUACCUCCUGGGCCUGUCCCGCCUCAUCUCCCUUUUCUGGAACCGAAGCCCCAAGGACGGCGGGCCUUUGCUCUCCCCAUCCACACGGGCUGGUGGCCACAGCCGCUGGAGACAGCGGCACCUGACAGCCUCCUUCCCGGGGGGCACUCAGCGCGGGUGGAUGACCCCUUGCUGGGUCUCCCUCUGAGCAGGACGGGGGACAGAAGUGGUCCCAGGAGAUCGCGCAGGGGCUGCUCCCAGCCCUGGCCUCGGCCUCAACCCCCACCCCUGUGGUCCUCUAAGAACCUUCCCCGCGGUCCCCGCCCCGUCCCGUCCCACCCUCUGCUCUGCAAGUGCUGGGUGCUGCCCCGCCCGCUCCAACCUCCUUCUCCCCGGCGCUGGUCGGGUCGGUCUGGAGGGCCAGGUCUGACCGUGAGGCGUUGGCGUUGGCCGGACUGGCUGCGCCGGACGUGGGGCCGCCUCCAUCCAGUCAAGGCGGAGCCGGCAGCCAGCGGCCAGGGGCUGGAGGCCCAGGCGCUUCCAGCCAUGGGCAGGGGCUCGCUGAGAGCUCCGGGAUUGGCGGUGCCGCGGUGGCUGCUGUCACUACUGCUGCUGUCUCGGGGGCCAGUGUCUGGCGCUUGGUUGCUUCCAGAUCUCGACACUAGACUCAGGCCUGGUGGCCUUGGAAGCUGAAGGCCAGGAGUUCCUGCUUGAGCUGGAGAAGAACCAGUAAGUACCAGGCUGUGGUGUGGCUGAAGUCAAGAAGAACUGAUGUGGAUCCCUGAGCAGGCUGCUGGCUGCUGGUUACACAGAAACCCACUAUAGCCAAGAUGGCCAGCCAGUGGUGCUGGUCCCCAACCACAUGGGCGAGACACUUCUGUGGGCUCUGAGGACAGGGUGAGGGUGCUGGGGAUGGCACCUGGGAUAGCUCCUCACGAUCCCUACCCCAACCCUCCAACUCCGUUCCUAGGGGAAGUUGGAGCCACCCCUCCCCUCCCCUUCCUGCUCCCGUUCCCUCUUGGCUUCUGCCCUGGCUGAGGUUUGGGCUCAGGUUCCUUCCUCUCCAGGACCACUGUCACUACCACGGAGAGUGAGGGGCUUCCCCAACUCUUCGGUUAUGCUCAGCACCUGCUCUGGGAUGAGGGGCUUGAUCAGGCUCAACAGCAAUGCCAGCUAUUACCUGCAGCCCCUGGCCACCUGGAGACCCAGAGGACCUCUCAACCCACAGGACUUUCCGGAUGGAGAGGCUGCUCACCUGGAAAGGGACCUGCCAGCUACAGUGACCCCCGAGGACAAAGGGGGCAUGGCCAGGCUUCGUCCUGCCCCUCAGAGCAGGGAGAGGCGAGAAGCCCCCAGGGGCCAGAGGUACCUGGAGCUAUACGUAGUAGCCGACCACCCCCUGUACUUGACCCAGCACCGGAACUUGAACCAUACCAAAGAGCGCGUCUCCUGGAGGUUGCCAGUUAUGCAGACCAGAUCCUCAGGACGCUGGACAUCCAGGUGGUGCUGACAGGCCUGGAAGUGUGGACAGAGCAAGACCACAGCCGCGUCACACCCACGCCUGGCAACGCCACGCUCUGGGACUUCCUGAAGUGGCGCGGGGGCUGUGGGCACGGCUGGCCGCACGACUCGCGCGCAGCUACUCACGGGCUGCACCUUCCGGGGCGCCACUGUGGGCCUGGCGCCCGUCGAGGGCAUGUGUCGCGCAGAGAGGCUCGGGCGGUGUGAGCACGGACCACUCGGAGCUCCCCACCGGCGCUGCGGCCACCAUGGCCCAUGAGAUCGCCACAGCCUGGGCCUCAGCCACGACCUCGAUGGCUGCUGCGUGGAGGUCGCGGCAGAGCAAGGCGGCUGCAUCAUGGCCGCCGCCACGGGUACUCGCGGGCUAGGGCGGGGCCUAGGCUUAUUCCUCUGCGUGCUGCUUCACGUUAUCCCUCAGUUUCUCUUUUGUAAAAUGGUGGUGGUGACAACCACUUGUCCUCAUGGUUGUUUAUGAGGCCUCAGUGGAAGAAACGCAGGUAAAGUGGAUUCUCACGAGUAUGAAGAUUUUGAGAAAAACCUAGCAAGGUUGCUCCAACGCCGGAGCAAACGGCACGCGUAGGGCUGCGGUGUGGCUAACGCCAGGCCUGAGAAUCCAGGCUGAGUGCGGGCUGGGGUGUCCUGCGCUCCCGACGCCUCCCCCCCGCCCCUAGGCACCCGUUCCCGCGCCUCUUCAGCGCCUGCAGCCGCCGCCAACUGCGGGCCUUCUUCCGCAAGGGGGGCGGCGCGUGCCUCUACAACGCCCCAGACCCCGGGCUUCAGAUCCCGCCCACGCGCUGCGGGAACGGCUUCGUGGAAGCGGGCGAGGAGUGCGACUGCGGCUCUGAGCAGGUCAGGUCCGCCUGCCCGACCUCUGGGGACCGAGCCUGGCCCUCCUCCAGCGGUCAGGGGCGCGGUGCCCGCAUCUGUUCCAGUUUCACUUUUCUGGCCCCAGAAGUGCCCAGACCCCUGUUGCUUCGCCCACAACUGCUCGUUACAUGCGGGGGCCCAGUGUGCCCACGGGGACUGCUGCGCGCGCUGCCUGGUGAGGGCGGGUUGGUCCUGGUUGGUUGGCGCCCCCUGGUCCUCUAUGAGCGGGUCGCCUGGCCCUCGCGCCGGCUCCCCAUCUCUGAACAAGCUUGGCUCAGAUCUGUCACUGUCCAUUGACUCAACCGGGCCCCUGCGCAGCUGAAGCCAGCUGGCUCGCCGUGCCGCCAGGCUGCAGGAGACUGUGACCUCCCUGAGUUCUGCACUGGCUCUUCCCCCACUGUCCCCCGGAUGUUUACCUGCUGGACGGCUUGCCCUGCGCGGGAGGCCAAGGCUACUGCCUGGAUGGCGCGUGUCCCACGCUGGAGCAGCAGUGCGCACAGCUCUGGGGGCCUGGUGAGAGCGUGCCCUAGCAUCUGGCCCCUCCUCGGGUCUGCCCUUUCCUCCCGUAGGCAGGAUCUGCUGAGGAACUGAGGCUCUCAGAGCGUGGACCGGGCUGGGGCUUCGGCUGCGCUGCCCCAGUGCCCCUCUUUGAUCUUCAGGCUCCCGCCCAGCCCCCGAGGCCUGUUUCCAGCUGGUGAACCCCGCGGGAGACGCCACUGGGAAUUGCGGCCAGGAUGGCUCUGGCCGCUUCCUGCCUUGUGCUCAGAGGGACACUCAGUGCGGGAAGCUGCAGUGCCAGGGCGGGGAGCCCAGCCCCCUAGUGCCACACAUCUUGCCUGUGGAGUCCACACUUCACUUAGACGGCCACCAGGUGGCUUGUCGUGCAGCUCUGGUGAUCCCCGAUGCCCAGCUGGACUUGCUGGACUUGGGCCUGGUAGAGCCCGGCACCCAGUGUGGUCCUAGAAUGGUGUGCCAGGACAGGCGCUGCCAGAACACUUCCUCCCAGGAGCUGGAGCGCUGCCUAACUACCUGCCACAACCAUGGGGUUUGCAAUAGCAACCAUAACUGCCACUGCUCUCCAGGCUGGGCUCCACCCUUCUGUGACAAGCCGGGUUCGGUGGCAGUGUGGACAGUGGCCCAGUGCACCCUGAAAAUGGCGACACGUUCCUUCUGGCAGUGCUCUUCAGCUUCCCUGCUCCCUCUGCUCCCCUGGGGUGGGCCUGGCCUGGUGCUACUCCGGCUCCUGGGCUCCACCUCCAGCGAUGCCCCGGGGCUAUAGGAGAGACCAGGAAUGCAGUGGGCCCAAAGAUGGCCCUCUCAGGAACCAUAGCCUGGGUGGCAUUUACCUUGCGCAGUUGGGGUCCGUGGCCAUUGGAGACCCCCAGCCCCUGGCCACUGAUGUCCGCAUCUCAGGCAUCUGGGUUUGGGUUAAAAUGGAAAUGAGACAUCACUUCUUGGAGACCAGGAUGCUAGAAGUCCCUUGGGGCAAGUAUGGGGGAAGUUGUGGUUUUUCCUGGGUCUUGGGUCAUUACUGAAGGGAACAAGGGGUCCCUGCCACAUGAUUUGCAACCUGGGGCCCCAGCCCUUUCUUCUGCAUUAGAAUCUCAGCAGGUCAAGUCUAGACACCAAGAUCCUAUCUGUGGGGGAAAGGUGGCUCCUGAGAUGAGUAGACAGGUGACCACUGACAGCCAUUCCAGGAACUUGGAUCCCAAGGACAGACACAGCGAGUCAACUGAUCUCCUGCACCUUCUGAAGCUUGGAGGUUUCUUCCUGCCUUGUCAAGGAGCUCCAGGACCCAAGCUUCAUCAGAAGUUGCUUGAUGUUGUCCCUGCUCUUGAGGGCUGGGGCAUGCUGGGUACAGCUUCCAGCCCAAGAAUCCAUCCACAAAGGAUUGAAGGUCCCAUAGUCCCCAACCCCCAGCAGGGGAGGCCUCUGUCCUGGGAGCCUGGCUAUGUCUGCUUUGUGCACUUUCCCUCCAUGCAGCUCUCUGGAGGGCAGGGACUCCUGAGACUCAACAUUUCUGAUGGAGCCCACAUUUCCUGGAGCCUGGCCCUUGCAAACAAGCAAGCAAACAAAAUCUUUGAUAUCUCCUUUCUGGUCUCCUCCUACCCGUCCUGUAUCCGGGAAGCUUCUGUAGCCCCUACCCUGACUCCCAGUUCUCCAUCUGAGGUUGUAGAGGGUGUGGCCUUUUGCAGCCCUCUUCACUUGGACUUUACUCAGUCCUCCAUUCUGUAGGAGAGGCCUGAGGAGUCAGGUCAGGAAAGACAGUGUAGAGUCAGAAGAAAGGCAGGCUUCCUGGUGCCUCUGUGAAUCUUUUCUGUUGUAAAUUCAACCCUUGGGGUGUCCUGAGGGGCCACUUGGAGUGAUGUGGUGGGUGGAACCUCCAGUGGUAGCCAGGACACCUGGAUUCAGGAGGGUGUUGCCCAGGUUGAAUUAUCCCUUUGCUUGUCCCUCCUGUCCCUUUGAACAUUCUUGUCUCCUGUUGCUCAUGCCAGAGUUGCUGAGUGAUCUGUAUUAGGCAGCUGUUGCUUUGUAACAAAACCACCUCCAAAACUGAGUUGCUUAAAACAACAGGCAGUACAAUCAUACUUCUGAGGGUGUGAAGAAUUGGAGAAUCUUUGCUGUCUACCAUUGGGAUCCAGAGAAGCGGCAGCCCCAGCUCAUCUAUAGAUUCGUCAUGGUUCCAAUAAACAUCCCAAGACAGUUUUGGUUUUUUGGUGGGGCGGGGGGCUUGACAAACUGCUCCAAAAAUGGACAUGGAACAGCAAAAAUCCAGGAAAAACCAAAAGAAAUUAAAUUAAGAAAAAAGGCCGGGGAUUUAGUUCAGUGGUUCCACCACCUGCCUCUCAAGUGCAAGGACCCAAGUUUGAUCCCAGUACCAAAAAAAUAAAAUAAAUUAAGAAUAAAAUAAGGAACAUUUGGAUGAUGGUAUCAAGAUUUAUUGUAAACUUCUAGUACAGCCAACAGUGAGGGCCACUGUUACUUCAUUACUUACCCUCAAUGCCCAAGCACGAGGGACUAAAUGCAACUACUUUAUGAUGCCACUUCUGUCUCACGGGUACCUGUGGGAUUUUAGUUUAGUGAGAACCCAGAGAAGUUAAGGCCUCUGUGAAAGAAGGUGCUGCUCAGUUCCCUGGAGAGGGAGG